This is a long non-coding RNA of Hypanus sabinus (Atlantic stingray), 2319 nucleotides long. RefSeq lists it as uncharacterized. The transcript has 2 exons. The record is from RefSeq and is a predicted model, not a curated record. NCBI's taxonomy places the organism in Eukaryota, Metazoa, Chordata, Chondrichthyes, Myliobatiformes, Dasyatidae.
AUCUUUGAGCACAGAGCUGGAAAAAAGCAACAAAACAGACUUUUUAACAUCGUAAACCAACAGGCUGUUAUGUCUCUCGCUCGCUGUGAAAAUGGGGGACACCUCCCUCUCCCUUAUUAGGGAGAGAGAGAACCCGUGGGUUGCUGAAUGCUGGAUGAGUUGCGAUAGUCUUUGGGGUGACUGCCAGCAUUGUCCACCAGAGUGAAAUCUCACUGCUCUGAUCAUCUCAUCCCAGCCAGGCAGCCUGACUUUAUGGGAUGCCAUCUUCCUGGAUCUGGGGUAUCAGCGUACAAUAGGUGGAAGGAGGAGCUCAGUGCCGGGUCGUUGGUUGCCUGGUGGUUGAGGGAAGUGUGGAAUAGGGAGACCACCUUCCUCUUCCAAUACUUCUGCAGGGGAUUGCUGGCUUUAGGCCUGGGUAGGGCAGGUUAGCAAUGGUCAUAUUGAGUUUAGUAUUGUCCCAUGCAGUAACGUACAAUGAAGAGCUUGUCUUGCACACUGUGUGUACAGAUCAAGUCAUUACACGGUGCACUGAGCUAGAACAAGGUAAAACAAUGCAGAAUAAAGUGUAACAGCUACAGAGAAAAUGCAGCGCAGGCAGCCGCUAAAGUGCGAGAUCUUAGAGAUGGAUGGUGAGACCACUCCUCUUAUGUUAACACUUUAAUUCCCAGGAUCAUUCCCAUGAACCUCCUCUGGACUCUCUCCAAUGCCGACAUCUCCUUUAGAUAUGAGGCCCAAAACUGCUCAUGCGGUUUGACUAACGGCUUCUAAAGUCUCAGCAUUAUAUUCUCAUCGUUUUGAAAUGAAUGCUGGCAUUGCAUUUGCCUUCCUCGUCACAGACUCAACCUGCCAGUUAACCUUUGAUUCCUGAGUUUGUUCCCAGUUUGCCGUUUCUUCCUUCUACGUUUUGCCCAAGGAGACUUCGGGCCAGGUGGGGGUGGUGGAGGGCAAGAAUGAGCUGCAAAUCUUAUGGACGGCACGGUAGCACAGCGGUUAGCAGAAUGCUUUAGCACGCCAGUGAUCGGAGUUCAAUUCCUGCCACUGUCUGUCAGGAGUUUGUACGUUGUGCCCGUGACUAUCUGGGUUUCCUCCCACAUUCCAAAGACAUACUGUUAGAGUUAAUAAGUUGUGAGCUUGCGUUGCUGACCCCGGAAGCACAGCAAUACUUGCAGGCUGCACUCCGUACAUCCUUGGAGUUACUGAGUAUGCCCUUGACACAGAAGUGACACAUUGCACUGCAUGUUUCAGCAUUUUGCAAUGCAAAUAGAGCUCAUCUUUAUCUUCAGUUUUUUUUCUUAAAUGUUCAUCAAAGUUCAGGUCAGGCAGGGUCAGUCUGCACCAGUAGGAAAUGUAAGUGAAGAAAUAAUGGGAAGUGAAGGAAUGGGGACCUUGUGUUCUCAUUUAUACUGCAAACUCGUUUAAGCAGGACAGGUAACAUCUAUGGAAAUGAAAAAACAGUUGACAUUUCAGACUGACACCCUUCAUCAGGACUGGAAAGAAGGGAGAAUAAGAAGGUGGGGGGGGGGGAGUAAAAACUAGAAGGUCAUGGGUCAAAUCAGGUGGGUGGGGAAGGAAAGGUGAAAGGGGAAUUAGAGUGGUGAAUGGGAGAAGGAAGGGGGGAAAAUUACUGGAAGUUAGACCCCUUCCCCUUUCCGUUUCUUCCAUUUACCAUUCUGGUUUCCCUCUCACCCCUCCUCUCCUCCUCAUCUGCCCAUCACCUCGCCCUGGGUCCCCUCCUCCUUCCCUUUGUCCCACGAUCCACGCUCCUCUCCUAUCAGAUUCCUCCUUCUUCAGCCCUUCUUCAUUUCUUCACCUAUCACCUCCCUGCUUCUUACUCCUUACCACCUUCCCCCACCCAUUGUUCUGGCUUUCUCCCCCCCUCCUUUCCAGUCCUGUUGAAGGGUCUCGGUCAGAAACAGCGAUGGUUUAUUCCUCUCCAGAGAUGCUGACUGACCGCUGGGUCCCCGCAGCAAUUUGUGUGUGUGUUGCUCAGGAUUUCCAGCAUCUGUACAAUCUCUUGUGUCUACAAUGGUUAGAGUGUAAAAUUGUUAUUUUUCUCACAUGCUUGCUUAUAUUUUUAUACAAUCAAAUGCCUGUAUAUACAUGUAAUUAUCCAGGAAUUAUAGCUUAGCUGAUUCUGUACUUUUCUAGAAGCUGCUUAGUUUUGUGCAACAGGCAUCCCAGCACUCGAAUCUGGUGGUUGUUUUCACUGGAAUGCUUUGAUAUCUUAGUUUUUCCAAUAAGACGACCUCGCCUUCUUUGUCUUUUCUUUAUCUCGUUAUUCAUUCUUGUUACACAUAAUAAAACAGCUGUAACCAGUAA